Molecule: transfer RNA, 73 nt
Filed under: Planctomycetales bacterium
Lineage: Bacteria; Pseudomonadati; Planctomycetota; Planctomycetia; Planctomycetales
Description: tRNA-Lys
Rfam family: tRNA
About the family: Transfer RNA (tRNA) molecules are approximately 80 nucleotides in length.
Source: RNAcentral
GAGGACGUAGCUCAGUUGGUAGAGCAACGGACUUUUAAUCCGUAGGUCCCGGGUCCGAGCCCCGGCGUCCUCA